AAGUCGUAACAAGGUCUCCGUAGGUGAACCUGCGGAGGGAUCAUUAACAAAAAUCAAAAAAAAAACACAAAUGAAUCCCAAGAACGGAACGAGCCCCAAAAGCUUUUUCUCUUUUUUCGAUUCUUUUUUGCUUUUUUUUUAAUUCAAAAAACACUUUGCGAACCAUGUGACUGACCAAGUUGUUUUUCCGACGCUCUCACGAGUCGAACGAAAUCCUUGGCUUUUUUUUCACUAACAACCAAUUUCACCAAUUUUUUCGAUGAUUUUCUCAUUGCUCGUCUGAGCAGUGAAAGAAGCACAGGAAAAGCCAAUUGAAUAUCAAAAACUGAAAAGUUGAAAAUUUAAUUUCUAAUUUUUUCUUUUUCACAAAAUAAAAAAACAAAAUUAAAGCACAACUCUUAGCAACGGAUAUCUUGGUUCUC
RNAcentral lists this unclassified non-coding RNA (422 nucleotides) under fungal sp. Its description in RNAcentral is "partial internal transcribed spacer region". The stretch from base 1 to 46 matches the Rfam family "Eukaryotic small subunit ribosomal RNA", at positions 1786 to 1831 of the family's 1831-position model. Lineage: Eukaryota; Fungi. The record is from RNAcentral.